This 21-nucleotide small nuclear RNA is filed under the name Arabidopsis thaliana (thale cress). RNAcentral describes it as "snRNA_02279". The record is from RNAcentral. Lineage: Eukaryota; Viridiplantae; Streptophyta; Magnoliopsida; Brassicales; Brassicaceae.
AGGACGCCUGGAGCGUACCGA